CGCGGGAAUUGAGCAAGGGCGGCUCCGCGGUCUCAUAAGCCGUGACACGGCAGGUUCGACUCCUGCUCCCGCAACCA
This 77-nucleotide transfer RNA is filed under the name Acidobacteriota bacterium. RNAcentral describes it as "Acidobacteria bacterium (soil metagenome) tRNA-Met". It matches the Rfam family "tRNA". From Rfam's summary of the family: Transfer RNA (tRNA) molecules are approximately 80 nucleotides in length. Their secondary structure includes four short double-helical elements and three loops (D, anti-codon, and T loops). Lineage: Bacteria; Pseudomonadati; Acidobacteriota. The record is from RNAcentral.